GACGUAGGGCGCGAGCGUUGUCCGGAUUUAUUGGGCGUAAAGAGCUCGUAGGCGGUUUGUCGCGUCUGCUGUGAAAACCUAAGGCUCAACCUUGGGCUUGCAGUGGGUACGGGCAGACUAGAGUGCGGUAGGGGGUGACUGGAAUUCCUGGUGUAGCGGUGGAAUGCGCAGAUAUCAGGAGGAACACCGAUGGCGAAGGCAGGUCACUGGGCCGCAACUGACGCUG
This 226-nucleotide ribosomal RNA is filed under the name uncultured bacterium. Its description in RNAcentral is "partial 16S ribosomal RNA". It matches the Rfam family "Bacterial small subunit ribosomal RNA", at positions 524 to 748 of the family's 1533-position model. The record is from RNAcentral.